Long non-coding RNA from Pipistrellus kuhlii (Kuhl's pipistrelle), 1007 nucleotides. RefSeq lists it as uncharacterized. The transcript is spliced from 3 exons. NCBI's taxonomy places the organism in Eukaryota, Metazoa, Chordata, Mammalia, Chiroptera, Vespertilionidae. The record is from RefSeq and is a predicted model, not a curated record.
GAAACCAAGGAAGGUACAUGCCCUUGACUGGAAUCGAACCCGGGACCUUUCAGUCGUAGGCCGACGCUCUAUCCAGUGAGCCACACCGGUCAGGGCUGUGGGUGGCAGUCUUGUCUCUACGCCUCUGCUUCCCUCUGGGGCAAGGUUAGGGUCAGGGGAUCCUGUGGGUGGCUGGCAAAGGCCGGGCAGCCCUGGCCAGGGUGGCGGGGUGCCCCUCCCCAGCCCCCCAUCAGAGUGGCUUUGGGAUUCCAAGUGGGCCACGCCCCCGGAGCCGAGGUCACCUGCAGGGACAAUGGGUCCACAUGGCGGCCAUGCUGACGGAAGGAGUGAGUGCCGUCCCUGCUCAGAUCAAGGCCCUGCGACCAUCCAGCUUUCGGGGCCCGGCUGAGGAUGCACGUCUGGCCUCGGAGGGCCUGGCACACAGGGACCCGGAGUGAGGCGAUGCUACGAGCUGAAUGGUGUCCCCCCUCCACUGCCGAAGCCCUCACCCCGGGACCUCGGAGUGGGCCUGUGUGUGGAGCUGGGACCUGUAAAGCAUGGCUAAGCGGACACGCGGUGGGCCUGAUCUCACAGGUCUGGGGUCCUUCUGGGAAGAGGAGGUGAGGACACAGGAUGGGACCAGCACAGCACCCACACGCCCAGGCGGGAGGCCUCAGGGGGCCCAGCCUUCAGGACCCACGCUCCGGCCGGGACUCGGUGAGGAUGAGUGGAGUUGGCCGUUCAGAAACGUGCCUCAUGGGGGUCACUCCUGUCUGAAGUGGAUAAAUCUGAAGAAGCAGCGGCUCCGGGAGAAUCUCGCCAGGCCAGCCGGCGUGGCUCAGGGCUUGAGCAUCGGCCUAGGAACCAAGAGGUCGGGGUUCGAUUCCCGGCCAGGGCACAGGCCCAGGCUGUGGCCUGGAUCCCCAGUUUGGGGCGUGCAGGAGGCAGCCGCUCCAUGAUUCGCUCUUGUCAUAGUUGUUUCUCCCUCCCUCUCCCUUCCUCUCUGACAUCAAUAAAAAUGUAUUUUU